Molecule: transfer RNA, 71 nt
Filed under: Microcaecilia dermatophaga (tiny white caecilian)
Lineage: Eukaryota; Metazoa; Chordata; Amphibia; Gymnophiona; Siphonopidae
Description: tRNA-Trp
Rfam family: tRNA
About the family: Transfer RNA (tRNA) molecules are approximately 80 nucleotides in length.
Source: RNAcentral
UGGGGUUUAGGAUAACCACAAACCAAGGACCUUCAAAGCCCUAAACAGAAGUUAAACUCUUCUAACCCCAA